GCCGGGUGCGGUGGCGCGUGCCUGUAGUCCCAGCUACUCGGGAGGCUGAGGUGGGAGGAUCACUUGAGCCCAGGAGUUCUGGGCUGUAGUGCGCUAUGCCGAUCGGGUGUCCGCACUAAGUUCAGCGUCAAUAUGGUGACCUCCCAGGGGCGAGGGACCGCCAGGUUGCCUAAGGAGGGGUGAACUGGCACAGGCUGGAAACGGAGCAGGUCAAAACUCCUGUGCUGAUCAGUAGUGGGACUGUGCCUGUGACUAGCCACUGCAUUCCAGCCUGGGCAACACAGCGAGACCCAUCUCA
This 298-nucleotide signal recognition particle RNA is filed under the name Aotus nancymaae (Ma's night monkey). RNAcentral describes it as "Metazoan signal recognition particle RNA (ENSANAG00000012008.1)". It matches the Rfam family "Metazoan signal recognition particle RNA". Rfam says of the family: The signal recognition particle (SRP) is a universally conserved ribonucleoprotein. It is involved in the co-translational targeting of proteins to membranes. The record is from RNAcentral. Lineage: Eukaryota; Metazoa; Chordata; Mammalia; Primates; Aotidae.